GAUGAACGCUGGCGGCGUGCCUUAUACAUGCAAGUCGAGCGAACACACGAGGACCUUGCUCCUCUGACGUUAGCGGCGGACGGGUGAGUAACACGUGGAUAACCUACGUAUAAGACUGGGACAACUCCGGGAAACCGUUGCUAAUACCGGAGAAUAUAUUGAAACGCAUGGGUCACUAGUGAAAGACGGUUUUGCUGUCACUUGUAGAUGGAUCCGCGCCGUAUUAGCUAGUUGGUAAGGUAACGGCUUACCAAGGCGACGAUGAGUAGCCGCCCUGAGAGGGUGAUCGGCCACACUGGAACUGAGACACGGUCCAGACUCCUACGGGAGGCAGCAGUAGGGAAUCUUCCGCAAUGGGCGAAAGCUUGACGGAGCAACGCCGCGUGAGUGAUGAAGGUCUUCGGAUCGUAAAACUCUGUUAUUAGGGAAGAACAAAUGUGUAAGUAACUAUGCGCGUCUUGACGGUACCGAAACAGAAAGCCACGGCUAACUACGUG
This 497-nucleotide ribosomal RNA is filed under the name uncultured bacterium. Its description in RNAcentral is "partial 16S ribosomal RNA". It matches the Rfam family "Bacterial small subunit ribosomal RNA", at positions 28 to 507 of the family's 1533-position model. The record is from RNAcentral.